This 450-nucleotide ribosomal RNA is filed under the name uncultured bacterium. Its description in RNAcentral is "partial 16S ribosomal RNA". It matches the Rfam family "Bacterial small subunit ribosomal RNA", at positions 354 to 796 of the family's 1533-position model. The record is from RNAcentral.
GUGGGGAAUAUUGGACAAUGGGCGAAAGCCUGAUCCAGCCAUGCUGCGUGUGUGAAGAAGGUCUUCGGAUUGUAAAGCACUUUAAGUUGGGAGGAAGGGCAGUAAGUUAAUACCUUGCUGUUUUGACGUUACCGACAGAAUAAGCACCGGCUAACUUCGUGCCAGCAGCCGCGGUAAUACGAAGGGUGCAAGCGUUAAUCGGAAUUACUGGGCGUAAAGCGCGCGUAGGUGGUUUUGUAAGUUGGAGGUGAAAUCCCCGGGCUCAACCUGGGAACUGACUCCAAAACUGCAUGACUAGAGUACGGUAGAGGGUAGUGGAAUUUCCUGUGUAGCGGUGAAAUGCGUAGAUAUAGGAAGGAACACCAGUGGCGAAGGCGACUACCUGGACUGAUACUGACACUGAGGUGCGAAAGCGUGGGGAGCAAACAGGAUUAGAAACCCGAGUAGUCC